This 480-nucleotide ribosomal RNA is filed under the name uncultured bacterium. RNAcentral's name for it is "partial 16S ribosomal RNA". It matches the Rfam family "Bacterial small subunit ribosomal RNA", at positions 28 to 523 of the family's 1533-position model. The record is from RNAcentral.
GACGAACGCUGGCGGCGUGCUUAACACAUGCAAGUCGAACGAUGAAGUUCCUUCGGGAAUGGAUUAGUGGCGAACGGGUGAGAAACACGUGAGAAACCUGCCUUCCAUUUUGGGAUAACUCCGGGAAACCGGAGCUAACACCGAAUACUCCGUCUCGGCGGCCUCGCUGAGCCGGGAAAAAAUUAUGAUGAAAGAUGGUCUCGCGGCCUAUCAGCUAGUUGGAGAGGUAAUGGCUCACCAAGGCGACGAGGGGUAGCCGGCCUGGGAGGGCGACCGGCCACACUGGGACUGAGACACGGCCCAGACUCCUACGGGAGGCAGCAGUGGGGAAUAUUGGGCAAGGGGCGCAAGCCUGACCCAGCGACGCCGCGUGAGGGAUGAAGGCCUUCGGGUUGUAAACCUCUUUCAGUAGGGAAGAAGCGAAAGUGACGGUACCUAAAGAAGAAGCACCGGCUAACUAUGUGCCAGCAGCCGCCGUAA